GGCACUUUAGCCUAGUGGUUAAAGCGCGAGUCCUCACACUCAAGAGGCUGCACACCUGGGUUCGAAUCCUGGGUGCGUCA
This is a non-coding RNA of Melampsora americana, 80 nucleotides long. Lineage: Eukaryota; Fungi; Basidiomycota; Pucciniomycetes; Pucciniales; Melampsoraceae. The record is from the annotation of a GenBank genome assembly.